GCCGAUGUGAUGGAAUGGCAGACAUGCACGACUCAAAAUCGUGUGCCCAAAAAGCAUGUGGGUUCGACUCCCACCAUCGGCA
This 82-nucleotide transfer RNA is filed under the name Candidatus Cerribacteria bacterium 'Amazon FNV 2010 28 9'. RNAcentral describes it as "tRNA-Leu". It matches the Rfam family "tRNA". Rfam says of the family: Transfer RNA (tRNA) molecules are approximately 80 nucleotides in length. Their secondary structure includes four short double-helical elements and three loops (D, anti-codon, and T loops). Further hydrogen bonds mediate the characteristic L-shaped molecular structure. tRNAs have two regions of fundamental functional importance: the anti-codon, which is responsible for specific mRNA codon recognition, and the 3' end, to which the tRNAs corresponding amino acid is attached (by aminoacyl-tRNA synthetases). tRNAs cope with the degeneracy of the genetic code in two manners: having more than one tRNA (with a specific anti-codon) for a particular amino acid; and 'wobble' base-pairing, i.e. permitting non-standard base-pairing at the 3rd anti-codon position. The record is from RNAcentral. Lineage: Bacteria; Candidatus Cerribacteria.